Homo sapiens (human) is the source of this 5249-nucleotide long non-coding RNA. Ensembl annotates it as long intergenic non-protein coding RNA 2609. NCBI's taxonomy places the organism in Eukaryota, Metazoa, Chordata, Mammalia, Primates, Hominidae. The record is from Ensembl.
GGACGGUAGAGGCCUCCCUUCCGAGGAGGCGGUGCUGGGGCGGGCGCAGGACUGCAGGCUGGGGCUCCGCUCCCCGGCGGGAGCCCGCGCGUGGUUCCCAGCGAAGUCCCCGCGCGGCUGGGCCCAGCGUGAGUAUUCUCCGCCCGCUGUCCUCCCCCUGGAGGCGGCAGCGCCCGUUUAUUUGAGCCGUGUGAAGAUGUGCCUGCUUCGCCUUCCAUCAUGACUGAAGUUUCCUGAGGCCUCCCCAGCUAUGCUCCCUAUACAGCCUGCAGAACGGUCGGCUGCCUCCAAUCCUGAGGUCAUCACUCAUCAAGAGGGGAUAAUCCCAGGGACAGCAGGAUCUGCUUCGUUACUUGGAUUUAGGAGCCAGAAACCCAUCAGGCAACUAAACAGUAACAAUGACCCGCCAUUAAACACACUGAGAGAAGAGCAUGAUGAAGAGUUUGUACAAGAAGAAGCCAGGAGCACUUGCUGACAAUGCUUACAGAGACGCAGGCUUCUAUGAGCUCUGCCUGUUGAACUGCAGUAAAAAUAGAUCUCCUUCCCCAGAGAGGCUUGGAUGUGGGCACAAUAUCAGUUCAGACGAUGGUCAAUGCAUGUACUUAAUAGAGUGAAAAGACUUUGGACUGUGAAGUCAGAUUACCUGGGUCUGAAUUGUUAUUCUUCUACUUCUUUGUAGUAUGCUUUCACCACAUUAAAAAUUGUCUGAGCCUCAAUUUUUUUAUCUGCAAAAUGGAGCUAAUACCUACACAGGGGCUUUUAAGAGAAUCAAAUGCAACAAUGUUUGAAAAGCAACAUACUCCCCUUUAUGGAAAAAGAGCCUGUAAAGGAACCAAUACAAUGGCUGGGCGUGGUGACUCACACCUGUAAUCCUAGCACUUUGGGAGGCCGAGGUGGGUGGAUUGCCUGAGCUCAGGAGUUCGAGACCAGCCUGGGCAACAUGGUGAAACCCCGACUCUACUAAAAUACAAAAGAUUAUCCUGGCGUGGUGGUGUGCACCUGUUAUCUAAGCUACUUGGGAGGUUGAAGCAGGAGAAUUGCUGGAACCUGGGAGGCAGAGGUUGCAGUGAGCCAAGAUCACACCACUACACUCCAGCCUGAGUGACACAAGACUGUGUCUCAAAAAUAAAUAAAUGAAUAAGUAAAUAAAUACAAAAUAAAUAAAAUAAAGGAACCAAUACAACAAAGGCUGCUCUCAACAUUUUCCCUGCUCCUAGGCACUCAAUAUCAGAAUAUAGGCUUCUUUCUUUUGCUCAGAUACCAGGGAUAAGAAAUGAGAGAGAGAGAGACAGAGUAAUGUGGAAAGACAGGAAGCCAGAUUCUGGCUCUUAGAGGAAAAAAUUCACUCUAAAUAAUUUUCAGACAAUGUUACUCUCCUUUCUCAAACACUGGGGCCACAGGCAUUAUGCCAAAGGAGUCAGCAGCCUGGCAGAUAUUUUAAACUGAUUCUGAGACUGAACGACAGCCCAUUUGCACCAUAUGCCACUGACACGUUAAUCUAGGCAAGGAUGCUAGGCACCUGGGGAAAUCCAUGCUGAAAUGCCAUUUAGGCAGGACAUACCAACUCCAGUGGCAGAAGUUCAUCAAAACAAACAGGCAGGGUGGCCAAGAAGAUAGAAGUGGAAAGCAGGAGUGAAGGGGACAUGCAGUGUCCAAGGCACAAAAUGUGUUCUGAGUUGCAGACACUUCAUUGUGCUUCUAGGAGAGCUGCAGAUUCAGCAAGACAUUAAAACUGGGUAUUUGCAGUCUGGACAAACGAGUAUCUGCUACUUUUGCAUCAGUUAUUCUACAUGGCCUCAAACCCUGUGACCCUUCUAUCCAUUGGCAAAUACUGGGCGAUGCUCCAGUUCACCAGAAUGGCCUCCUUUAUCCCUGCAGUUUCACUGUAAAAAGCCCGAGCAAGCGGCUGCCGAGUGACUCUAGUAGUUGCUCCGGUGUCAGACUUUCCAGGAUCCAAUUUGGUGGGAGCACUCUGGGCCUUUGGUCUCCCUCUACUCUUUGCCAGGCCCUGUUUCUUGGUUACUCUGAGCAGUAAUGAGCUUCUCCACCCCAGCAUGAGGACAGGCUCACAGCCAGCACAUGAAAAGGGCUGUGCUCAUGUGUGGCAAACUACUCUAUUUCAUGGGCAGCUCACACGUCUGUUUUUUUUUUUCCUUCUUCUGUGAUGCAACUACACUAAUGAUUUUUUAAAGUAGGAAUAAGGCAGUACUAUGGCUUUCUGGGGGAAAAAAAGUCACACAGCAGGAAAACUGCAGCAGAUAUCAUCAAAGAAGCUCAGAAUAAAAUGCCCACCCAUUCUUGUUAUUGGCCCAAAUGAUUUUCCAGGAGCAAAAGGAUCAUUCUAACAGGCAUCUUAAUAAACAAAUAGAAUCAUUACCUUAGUUAUUUUCCUCCAGGCAAAUGAGGCUUAAAAAAUCAGCUCUUCCUGUUAAUGUUAGUUAUUUUUCAUAGUCAGAAGAAUCUGAAAGAUCAUAAAAAUAAGAUUAGGCCACCAAAGAAUGUGGAUAAGCAGUUCAGAGAUGUUAAGCGCGGGCUCUGGAAUCAGCUUUUGGUUCAGAUCUGGAGCUCUGUCCCUUACCCUCUGAUGACCAUUGGCAAUUUACUCAACCUCUACCCCCAGUCUCUGUUUCUUCAUACAGAAACUUGUAUGAAUAACUUAUACAGAAUAACCCCACCUGUACCUUGUAAAGAAUAACCUCACCUGCCAGGGUUGUUAAGAGGAUUAAAAGAGAAGGUAUGUGUGUAGCAAGGAGCACAUUUCCUAGCACAUGGUCUGGGUACUUAUGUUCAAAUGAUAGGCCUGAUCUUGGAAACCACAUGUCACUUAUGUGUUGUAAUGUAGACAGAUUGUUUCUAUGGAUUCUUCGCAAAGACUAAGUAGAUGUUCAAAUGAGAAAAUCACAGGCAUUUUCUGCGCAUUCACCACUACACACAUAGGGCUGUGCUGUGUAUUAGGAAAGAUUUAUAAGAAGUAGAAGAGUUAGUUUUUACUCAGGAGUAGCUUAAAGUCAACCCUGAAGAACAGUAAUACCACUCUUAAUUCAAGACCUGAUGUCCAGCAACCCCAUGCCUUUACCCUAUGCACCCAGAAACCCAUCUGAAAUGAGAUCUAAACACGCUACCACAGUAGUGGCCUAACUGAUCUCCCCGCACCCCUCCUUGACUUCAUAUAGCCAAUCCACAGAGCAGCAGAGGACUCUAUAUAAUGUAAAAUAAAUCAUAUCAUCUCAGAAUCCACUGAUGGCUCCCUACCUCACACAAAAUGGGACCCAAAGUCCUCAUUCUACCUGCAAAGCCCAUCAUGGUUUGAGCCCCGUUACCUUCCUGAUCACUUCUCUUCCUGCUUCCCUCCUUUGCUCGCCCCCUUCCAGCCACACUACCCUCCUCAAACACACCGAGCAUGCUCUCACUUCAGAACAUCUGGACUGCUACUUUCUCUCUCUGGAAUGCUCUUGUCCUAUGUACUCAUAUGGCUUGCUCCUUUACUUCAUUUAGGUUUCUGCUCAAAUGUCACCUAAUCGGAGAAAGCUUCCUUGACCAUUCUUUUUAAAUAGUCACCCAAUCCUGCUAUUCUCCGUCUCCCUACUCUGCUUUAUUUUUCUUCACAGAGCCUUCAAGACUUCAUAAAGGAAGGUUAAUGUAAUGAGGUCCAGUCCUCACUGCUACAACUGAUCUCAAUGCCAUAAUUAAUAUUUGUCACCUUCAUCUUCCACCCCUAUUCUAGUUUUGCCUCACCCUUUACCAACACCUCAGCUGGUCUAGGGUGCCUCCCAGCAACCUAGGAGUCAUCUAAGAGUGACUCAGACCUUCACCCACAAGGGGACUGGGUUGCGUUAGCCCCUGUGGGCUGAGGUUGCUGCAGUUGCCAAUUUACAGUUAUCAAUGGACUUUGGAGUUAUCACCAAGAGAUGCCCCAUUAAAUCGCUGGGUCCUAGACGUACUCCCUUCUGCCCUAUUGCCUCCAUUGUGUAAUAGCAACCCUAUUUCCUCAUAGGAAUCGGGGUCAAUUGCUUAACAAAUGUUUCACAAGUGGAUCAUUGAGAAUGAUGGUGAAAAGAACCAAUCUUAUUUCCACCAGUUGAUUCCUGGACCCAUAUAUUAUAGCUAGGAGAAAAUCACCACUGUUUGUUCUGUGCAUAUACUGCAUGUUGGAGUAUACAGUUCAACCCCAUAGGGUAUUAUGCCCAAGCUAGCACCUUAACUAGGCUCUUCCAUUAUUCUACUAGGCUGGCUGCCUCUAGGUGAAGAAGUACAUUGUAAGAUCAAUCAAUCCCAUGAUCAUGUGCCCAUUGUCACAACCCUCUUACCAUCAAAUGGAUCCCUUAGUCUGAGGCACAGUUGUGUGGAUUCCCAUUUCAGUAAAGAACACAUUCCGUAAGUCCUCAGGUAGCAGUGUCAGCAACAGCACUGACAUCAGGGAAGGCAAAGCCAUAUCCAACUAGGUGUCAAUUCUUAUAAUGGAAUUAGGUGUGAUGUCAUCAACUUGCCACCAAGUGCCUGGCUAGUAUCUCUGAGGAUGGUGCCUUAUCUAUGCCAGCCUGUCCUCUGGCAGGAAAAAUAUUCAGCAAUGGCAGGAGCUAUAUCAGCCCUGGUGAGAAGGACUUGAUACUGUUGUGUCCAUGCCUAGUCUCUACUCCUGUCACCAUGGCCAUGCCAUUAAUGAGCCAAUUGCAAAAGUACUGGAAUGGCCAUGGAGAGACACUGACAUCCAGAAGACAAAAGUCAUCCUGUCUACUUGGUUGUUGAUGCUCUAUUGAUUCACUAUGGUGGAUGCUCAUGGACAUUAACAUAGGAUUUAAAAAAUCCUCACCCUUUAUGCCUAUCCUCAUAGGUCCAUCCAUAUGCCUUGGCCCUAUACCUCCUUAUAGAGAAAGCUGAUAAAAGCAGACAUUAGAAAGCUAGUCAUUAUUGUAGGCCUCUGAAUGUGACUCAGAGUUUUCUGCCCAAAAGCCAGAAAGGGCAGCUCUACUCACCAGAUCCUAUCUUUAUUAGUCAAGGGUUGCCCCAGGGAAUGUUAAUUCUCUCAAAUGUCUAGAUUUGCAUUCUAGGUUUGCAUAUGUGUGAGUGCUCAGGAGAUUCUAGCAGACAUCUAUUCAGCUUAGAAAAACUCAGGCUAGAGAGUGGAACAGAUUCACAGUGCAGCUGAGACAAGAUCCUUAUCUGGUUAUACCUGGGCAUAGCUGCUUGCUGCAGCAAAAGUUGGAAAAAAAGGUGGGUUGAGAGGAUAUGAGAUGAAGCCUAAGAGGUGU